GAUGAACGCUGGCGGCGUGCCUAAUACAUGCAAGUCGAGCGAACAGACGAGGAGCUUGCUCCUCUGAUGUUAGCGGCGGACGGGUGAGUAACACGUGGAUAACCUACCUAUAAGACUGGGAUAACUUCGGGAAACCGGAGCUAAUACCGGAUAACAUUUUGAACCGCAUGGUUCAACAGUGAAAGACGGUUUUGCUGUCACUUAUAGAUGGAUCCGCGUCGCAUUAGCUAGUUGGUAAGGUAACGGCUUACCAAGGCAACGAUGCGUAGCCGACCUGAGAGGGUGAUCGGCCACACUGGAACUGAGACACGGUCCAGACUCCUACGGGAGGCAGCAGUAGGGAAUCUUCCGCAAUGGGCGAAAGCCUGACGGAGCAACGCCGCGUGAGUGAUGAAGGUCUUCGGAUCGUAAAACUCUGUUAUUAGGGAAGAACAAAUGUGUAAGUAACUAUGCACAUCUUGACGGUACCUAAUCAGAAAGCCACGGCUAACUACGUG
Molecule: ribosomal RNA, 497 nt
Filed under: uncultured bacterium
Lineage: Bacteria
Description: partial 16S ribosomal RNA
Rfam family: Bacterial small subunit ribosomal RNA
Source: RNAcentral